RNAcentral lists this long non-coding RNA (215 nucleotides) under Gossypium raimondii (Peruvian cotton). RNAcentral describes it as "long non-coding RNA (GRAI_LNC005017)". The record is from RNAcentral. Lineage: Eukaryota; Viridiplantae; Streptophyta; Magnoliopsida; Malvales; Malvaceae.
UCAAACUAACCACAAAUGGGGCCAAAAUUUUAUACAUAUAUAAAACACUGUAAUGAAAUAGGUAAUUAUACAAUUUAUUUUUCUUGAAAGUGGACCUAACCUUAGAGAGGGUAAAAAAAACAAAUAAAUAAAACAAUAUUAGUACAAAGUUUUGUUUGGCUUUGCCAAAAAUAAAAUAAAAUAAAAUAAAUACCCAAAAGAAGAAUCCAAACCAC